RNAcentral lists this ribosomal RNA (442 nucleotides) under Escherichia coli. Its description in RNAcentral is "bacterial SSU rRNA". It matches the Rfam family "Bacterial small subunit ribosomal RNA", at positions 1 to 439 of the family's 1533-position model. Lineage: Bacteria; Pseudomonadati; Pseudomonadota; Gammaproteobacteria; Enterobacterales; Enterobacteriaceae. The record is from RNAcentral.
AAAUUGAAGAGUUUGAUCAUGGCUCAGAUUGAACGCUGGCGGCAGGCCUAACACAUGCAAGUCGAACGGUAACAGGAAGAAGCUUGCUUCUUUGCUGACGAGUGGCGGACGGGUGAGUAAUGUCUGGGAAGCUGCCUGAUGGAGGGGGAUAACUACUGGAAACGGUAGCUAAUACCGCAUAAUGUCGCAAGACCAAAGAGGGGGACCUUCGGGCCUCUUGCCAUCGGAUGUGCCCAGAUGGGAUUAGCUAGUAGGUGGGGUAACGGCUCACCUAGGCGACGAUCCCUAGCUGGUCUGAGAGGAUGACCAGCCACACUGGAACUGAGACACGGUCCAGACUCCUACGGGAGGCAGCAGUGGGGAAUAUUGCACAAUGGGCGCAAGCCUGAUGCAGCCAUGCCGCGUGUAUGAAGAAGGCCUUCGGGUUGUAAAGUACUUUCAG